RNAcentral lists this ribosomal RNA (609 nucleotides) under uncultured eukaryote. Its description in RNAcentral is "bacterial SSU rRNA". It matches the Rfam family "Eukaryotic small subunit ribosomal RNA", at positions 520 to 1121 of the family's 1831-position model. The record is from RNAcentral.
CGGAUUCGAACCACCUAACGAGGAACGAUCGAGGGCAAGUCUGGUGCCAGCAGCCGCGGUAAUUCCAGCUCCAAUAGCGUACGUUAAAGUUGCUGCAGUUAAAAAGCUCGUAGUUGAACGUUCGGGUUCCGCGGGACGGGGCCGCCCCGCGAGGGACGGCGCCGCCCCGGGGGCUCGUGAUAUCUCAUCUCGCCGCCCGUCGCGAGGCGGACGGAGGGAUGGAUGAGGUUACCUGGAAAAAAUCGGGGCGAUCUAGGCGGGCGAACCUCGCCAACGAACGAUCGGACAUGGGAUAACGGAAGAGGGGCGUCGGCUCGACUUCGUCGGGUUCCCUCGGGGCCGAGGCACGUACGGUGAAUAGGGACGGUCGGGGCCGCCCGUACCGGGUCGUGAGAGGUGAAAUUCUAGGAUCGACCCGAGACGAACCGCCGCGAAAGCAUUCGGCAAGGACGCUUUCAUUAAUCAAGAACGAAAGUCGGGGGGAUCGAAGACGAUCAGAUACCGUCGUAGUCCCGACCGUAAACGAUGCCGACCGAGGGCCCGGAGGAGUUACGUACGACCCCUCCGGGCCCUCCCGCGAGAAAUCAGGAGUAUUCGGGUUCCGGGGGG